CAGUCGCCGCGGGAAUACGAAGGGUGCAAGCGUUAAUCGGAAUUACUGGGCGUAAAGCGUGCGUAGGCGGUUUGUUAAGUCUGUUGUGAAAUCCCCGGGCUCAACCUGGGAAUGGCAGUGGAUACUGGCAAGCUAGAGUGUGUCAGAGGAUGGUGGAAUUCCCGGUGUAGCGGUGAAAUGCGUAGAGAUCGGGAGGAACAUCAGUGGCGAAGGCGGCCAUCUGGGACAACACUGACGCUGAGGCACGAAAGCGUGGGGAGCAAACAGGAUUAGAUACCCCCGUAGUCCCUGUCUCUUAUAC
This 301-nucleotide ribosomal RNA is filed under the name uncultured bacterium. RNAcentral's name for it is "partial 16S ribosomal RNA". It matches the Rfam family "Bacterial small subunit ribosomal RNA", at positions 509 to 807 of the family's 1533-position model. The record is from RNAcentral.